RNAcentral lists this unclassified non-coding RNA (252 nucleotides) under plant metagenome. Its description in RNAcentral is "partial contains small subunit ribosomal RNA, internal transcribed spacer 1, and 5.8S ribosomal RNA". The record is from RNAcentral.
UCUCCGUUGGUGAACCAGCGGAGGGAUCAUUACCGAGUUUACAACUCCCAAACCCCUGUGAACUUAUACCUUUACUGUUGCUUCGGCGGGUCAUUGCCCCGGGGAAACAGGCGGCCGUCAGGUCCCUGCCCACCCGGAAACAGGCGCCCGCCGGGGGACUCAAACUCUUCUGUAUUUUUUUGUUUACUGUAUACUGUCUGAGUAAAAAUUCAUAAUGAAUCAGAACUUUCAACAACGGAUCUCUUGGUUCUG